ACUGCUUGUAGCCUUUACGGUGCUGUAUUUUCUCUGGCUGUAUAUUAGAACCAAUUUGUACAAGCCACUUGCAGACAGAGGGAGCCUGUGUUCCUAUUGUGGAGAGCUGACAGCCGGACCUGUUGCCGAUUAAACCACAUCCACUUCUAGCUUACUGACGGCUGAAAACAUCAGCCUGCCUGUUUGCACUUCUUGUAAUAAGAGUGCCACUCUCCUUAUCCACUGACUCACCACCGGUUUCAAGAAAAGCAGCCUACAUCCAUAUAUAACAAAGAAAAGCGAGCACUUCGAGAAUCUCUGGUCUUCUUUCUGCUUACUUUUGAUGAUCCUUAUUGCUGGCUAGAGUCUCAGUGCUAACGGACCUAUAGGAAUGCCAUCUGACGUCAGAGACCACUGUGACACCCCCCCCCCCCGAUUGUGCCCCUGGAGCUAGGCGACGGGCGGUGUCAGCUGUUAUUAACGUUACUCACUUUCCAGGAGCUGCAGGUACAGAGUACUAAGGAAGUCUGUACGUGUGUAACGGGACCCGGACUGGUGUAGGAAUAUACAAGGCCAUUGAUCCGGUGAACGAUCCGCCCAAACCUCCCAGUGCCUUAUCCUGUCUGUUCCUUCUAACGAAGCUGCCUCUCUAUUGGAUUUUGGAUGGGUCUCCUAUUGGAUACACAGUGUUUCUCUUUUCUUUAGAGCUGCUUAAAGGGGGACGGUCGGAACUUGCACUACUUACAAUUAUCAUAACACUGUCUGAUCAAAAAGUUGUAUUUUUGAAUGUUUUUUCCCCACUUUUUUGUCUCACACAACAGUUAACCAUAACUCUGAAGUUACGUAAUCCCGGCGUGCAUUAAAUUGUGUUCAAAUGAA
Molecule: long non-coding RNA, 858 nt
Organism: Bombina bombina (fire-bellied toad)
Lineage: Eukaryota; Metazoa; Chordata; Amphibia; Anura; Bombinatoridae
Exons: 3
Source: RefSeq, a predicted model, not a curated record